AUUGAACGCUGGCGGCAGGCCUAACACAUGCAAGUCGAGCGGAUGAAGGGAGCUUGCUCCUGGAUUCAGCGGCGGACGGGUGAGUAAUGCCUAGGAAUGUGCCUGGGAGUGGGGGAUAACGUCCGGAAACGGGCGCUAAUACCGCAUACGUCCUGAGGGAGAAAGGGGGGGAUCUUCGGACCGCACGCUAUCAGAUGAGCCUAGGUCGGAUUAGCUAGUUGGUGGGGUAAAGGCCUACCAAGGCGACGAUCCGUAACUGGUCUGAGAGGAUGAGCCGGCACACUGGAACUGAGACACGGUCCAGACUCCUACGGGAGGCAGCAGUGGGGAAUAUUGGACAAUGGGCGAAAGCCUGAUCCAGCCAUGCCGCGUGUGUGAAGAAGGUCUUCGGAUUGUAAAGCACUUUAAGUUGGGAGGAAGGGCAGUAAGUUAAUACCUUGCUGUUUUGACGUUACCAACAGAAUAAGCACCGGCUAACUUCGUG
RNAcentral lists this ribosomal RNA (484 nucleotides) under uncultured bacterium. RNAcentral's name for it is "partial 16S ribosomal RNA". It matches the Rfam family "Bacterial small subunit ribosomal RNA", at positions 30 to 507 of the family's 1533-position model. The record is from RNAcentral.